CCCGCACAAGCGGUGGAGCAUGUGGUUUAAUUCGAAGCAACGCGAAGAACCUUACCAAAUCUUGACAUCCUUUGACCCUUCUAGAGAUAGAAGUUUCCCCUUCGGGGGACAAAGUGACAGGUGGUGCAUGGUUGUCGUCAGCUCGUGUCGUGAGAUGUUGGGUUAAGUCCCGCAACGAGCGCAACCCUUAAGCUUAGUUGCCAUCAUUAAGUUGGGCACUCUAAGUUGACUGCCGGUGACAAACCGGAGGAAGGUGGGGAUGACGUCAAAUCAUCAUGCCCCUUAUGAUUUGGGCUACACACGUGCUACAAUGGACAAUACAAAGGGCAGCGAAACCGCGAGGUCAAGCAAAUCCCAUAAAGUUGUUCUCAGUUCGGAUUGUAGUCUGCAACU
This 393-nucleotide ribosomal RNA is filed under the name Staphylococcus hominis. Its description in RNAcentral is "bacterial SSU rRNA". It matches the Rfam family "Bacterial small subunit ribosomal RNA", at positions 920 to 1312 of the family's 1533-position model. Lineage: Bacteria; Bacillati; Bacillota; Bacilli; Caryophanales; Staphylococcaceae. The record is from RNAcentral.